This 504-nucleotide long non-coding RNA is filed under the name Triticum aestivum (bread wheat). Its description in RNAcentral is "long non-coding RNA (TAES_LNC012530)". The record is from RNAcentral. Lineage: Eukaryota; Viridiplantae; Streptophyta; Magnoliopsida; Poales; Poaceae.
CACAGGCGUGGACAAAUGUAUCAAGAGUGGCGUGUGCAUCUCCGUCUGCCCUACUUUGUGUCUCGAACUGGUCGGUGAUGACACAAGGUACUACUGCAAGAGCGAUGAUAGUGAAUGUUGUUGCCCACCCAACACGUUGACAGAAUGGUGCAUUAGCAGGCCAUUCUGUGAUCCCUCGGCCUGUGAGGAAUUGUGCAAAGGAAAUCACUUCUAUGUUGGUGGAGCCUACUGCAAGAAUAUUACCCACCCACUGAAAUAUGUUAAGUGUUGCUGCCCCUUAAAACACAACGCCGCCAUGCAUGGCUAAUAGAGCAUGAGUUGUUGUAUUAGCCUCUAUUUAUGUCACAAUUUUCAUAGUAUGUUAUCAUUAGUCAUUGUCCUAGAGGCUAAUAGAGCGGCUUAUGUUCGAGCUAGUCAAUUGGUGGAUGCCCAAAACUAUAACUGAUUGUGGAUAUCCACCAGAUUUGCUUGUUCUUGCUAAUUAAUUAAUUUAAGGAAUAAAUG